This 378-nucleotide ribosomal RNA is filed under the name Eucyclops cf. serrulatus clade VII. RNAcentral describes it as "partial 12S small subunit ribosomal RNA". The record is from RNAcentral. Lineage: Eukaryota; Metazoa; Arthropoda; Copepoda; Cyclopoida; Cyclopidae.
CUUUACUUAACCCAAGUCGAUUUAACUGAACCUUCUAUCAAAUCCUGAAAUUUCUAACUUUUAAAACAGCAUCUAAUUCAACCUUUAAAAGUCUAUGUGUAAUUUGAAUUUUUAAUGUAGUUUAGUAUUUAACAACCAUAAAUAGGACCAAUUAAAAUUAAUCAAAUCGGGGGUUGUCGAAUUUAAAUUAGAUUCUCUGAUUAGGGACAGCAACAGCCAAUUACUUUAAGUUUUUAAAUAAUACUUAAAUUAUGAUAGUAUUUAGGUUCUAAUCUAAUUUCUUAGUUGCUUUGAAUUUACCAAUUUUAAAUUAAUCUAUUGAACCAAUUAAAUUACAAACUAGUUUACGAAUUGAAUUAUUUAUUCUAUGAUAAAGUG